RNAcentral lists this unclassified non-coding RNA (241 nucleotides) under plant metagenome. Its description in RNAcentral is "partial contains small subunit ribosomal RNA, internal transcribed spacer 1, and 5.8S ribosomal RNA". The record is from RNAcentral.
UCUCCGUUGGUGAAUCAGCGGAGGGAUCAUUACCGAGUUUUCUACUCCCAAACCCCUGUGAACUUAUACCUUUACCGUUGCUUCGGCGGGUUAACGCCCCGAAAAGGCCCCCGAAAGGGAGCCGCCCCGGAACCAGGCGCCCGCCGGGGGACCCAAACUCUUGUAUUUUCUUACCUAGCAUGUCUGAGUGGAAUCAUAAACAAAUGAAUCAAAACUUUCAACAACGGAUCUCUUGGUUCUG